GCGGAAGGCCGGGCGGCCGCUCCUUCGGGAGAGGAAAGUCCGGACUCGCCGAAGCACCGGUGCCGGGUAACGCCCGGGCAGGGCAACCUGACGGAAAGCGCCACAGAAAACAGACCGCCCGGCGCCCUGGCGUCGGGUCAGGGUGAAACGGUGGGGUAAGAGCCCACCGGGGGGCUGGCAACAGCGCCCGCAUGGCAAGCCCCACCGGGAGCAAUGCCAAAUAGGGACCCCGUGCCGUGCGCGGCAGGGCGGCUUCGGCCCGAGGGGUCCGGGUUGGCAGCUUGAACCGCGCGGGCAACCGCCGGUCCAGAGGAAUGGUCGUCUGAGGGCGGGCAACCGUCCGAUAACAGAAUCCGGCUUACAGGCCUUCCGCGCAU
This 377-nucleotide RNase P RNA is filed under the name Pseudoponticoccus marisrubri. Its description in RNAcentral is "Ponticoccus sp. SJ5A-1 Bacterial RNase P class A". It matches the Rfam family "Bacterial RNase P class A". From Rfam's summary of the family: Ribonuclease P (RNase P) is a ubiquitous endoribonuclease, found in archaea, bacteria and eukarya as well as chloroplasts and mitochondria. Its best characterised activity is the generation of mature 5'-ends of tRNAs by cleaving the 5'-leader elements of precursor-tRNAs. Lineage: Bacteria; Pseudomonadati; Pseudomonadota; Alphaproteobacteria; Rhodobacterales; Roseobacteraceae. The record is from Rfam by way of RNAcentral.